UCUCAACCUCCGCCACACCUCCACCUCGCGGGGGUCCUUGCAGAUGGAGCUUGAAGGUACCCCCACCCUCUACACCAUAAAUUCCUUGUGAACUUGUGUAAAUUCCUUGUGUUCAGCUUAUCCUUUAGAUGAGACCCCAGAUGUUCUCGGAGUGUGAGGGGGCUUGUUGGCCAACUUUAAUGUACUUUGGUCGGCCUGUUUAGUUGGGGGAAAUUCCAAUGUCAUUAUCUUGGGAUCUUUCUUUUAAGCCUGAUCAGACCCAGCUAGAGAUGACCCUCCACUUUCCUGCCUAUAGGGUGCAUAUCUGGUUGUAAACGACUGGGAGCUGAAUGGCAGAAGAGGACUCAGCAUCAAAUAUGCACUUUACCCCGUGCAGAGGCCCCAAAAACGUGGCCUUUGACAAGAAGGAGGAACAUGAGGGAUCUGGAAGCAAGAGGUAGGUAGAGGACCCAGGGAUUUGACUUCAAAAACAAACAUGGGAGGUGGUACCAAAAAGACUAAAACAAAGGAGGGUGGGAGGGAACAACCCAUAGAGGAAACAGAAACCAUUUAGUGAGAAGAAAACUUUAAAAUAUAUAUAUUCUGUAUACAUUGUCUAUAUACAUUGUACAUAGAAUAUAUAUAAUCAAUAUCUUGAGAUGUGAGGUACCACUGCAACCAUAAAACAAUAAAUAACAGAAUACUAUUUUUAAAAGAGUAUUUAGAGGGGCGCCUGGGUGGCUUAGCCGGUUGAGUGUUGGACUCGAUCUCGGCACAGGUCAUGAGCUCACCAUUCAUGAGUCUGAGCCCCAGCUGGGGCUCAGCACAGAGCCUGCUUGGGAUUAUCCCCUUCUCUCUCUGCCCCUCACCUGCUCACUUGCUCUCGUUCUCUCUCUCUCAAAAGAAAUAAACCUUAAAAUAAAUAAAUAAAAAGAGUAUUCAGAGACAAAUAUGAUUGCAGAAAUGGAAAGUUCAAUAAAAGAGUUGGAAGAUAAAUGUUGGGAAAUAUCGGGGGGGUGGGAAGCAAAAAGACAAAGAAAUGAAAAAUAAGAAAGAAAGAAAAAAAAAGAAAUUAGAGGACCACUGCAGGAGAUCCAAAAUCUGAAAAAUAAGAGUUCCGAAAGAAAAACCAAUCACUCCUUAGGGAAGGAAUGAUCAUCACCAAAAAAUUCAAGACAAUGUCUCCAAACUAAAAGUCACGAGUUUCCAGAUUAAAAGGGCCCACUGAGUGCCCAGCACAAUGGAUAAAAGAUGACUCAUCCCAAAUCAUCAUUGUGAAAUUGUAGGACAUGGGGGUGGGGGGGAACAGACAAUCCUAAGCUUCUAGAGAGAAAAACAGAUCACUUAACAAAGAGUCAAGAGUGAACAUAACUUUCAAUUUCUCAACAGUCACAAAGAAAGCUAGAAGACAUAGGAGCAAAUUCUUUUUUUUUUUUUAAUGUUUAUUCAUUUUUUUAAAUUUUUUUUAACGUUUUUUAUUUAUUUUUGAGACAGAGAGAGACAGAGCAUGAACGGGGGAGGGGCAGAGAGAGAGGGAGACACAGAAUCGGAAGCAGGCUCCAGGCUCUGAGCCAUCAGCCCAGAGCCCGACGCGGGGCUCGAACUCACGGACCGCGAGAUCGUGACCUGAGCUGAAGUCGGACGCUUAACCGACUGAGCCACCCAGGCGCCCCAAUGUUUAUUCAUUUUUGAGAGAGAGCGUGAGCGAGGGAGGAGCAGAGAGACAGGGGGCAGAGGAUCCAAAGCGGGCUCUGCGCUGACAGCAGCCAGCCUGAUUCAGGGCUUGAACUUAAUAAACCGUGAGAUCAUGACCUGAGCCGAAGUCUGACACUUAACCAACUGAGCCAACCGACUGAGCCACCCAGGUACCCCAUAGGAGCAAAUUCUAUCAAAUUUCAAAAGGAGAUUUAUUUCAAACUAGUAUUCUACACCUGAUGAGUCAAAUACCAAUCAAGUGUGGGUAAACAAUAAAGGUAUGUCCAAACAUUCAAAGAUCUCAAAAAAUUUCCCUUUCAUUUACUUUUCCUUCCUCAGGAUGCUUCUGGAGGUUGUGCUCUACUAAAAUGAGGGACUAAACAAAGAAAAAAAGAAGAUACAGGAUAUAGGAAACAGAAGAUAUAAUGCAGGAGAAAAAUGAUUUGAGAGGCCCUGACAACAAUUCUUCACCAGACAUGGAUUGGUACAGGUCCAGAAGGCCCAGAAGAGAUUCCAUUUUCAGAUGAAACUGAUAGAACACCUCGUCUAUCUAAGUCUUGGGAAGCAGAGAUUGAAACAAUCGUUAAAAAGUUUGGGCUUGGCUUGGUGAUGGAUAGUAAACCAAAAUAAGAUAAUAACUGCAGGAAAAACAAAAAGCUGAGCAGGAGAAGAAAAGUGAUCAUAGUA
RNAcentral lists this long non-coding RNA (2361 nucleotides) under Lynx pardinus (Iberian lynx). Lineage: Eukaryota; Metazoa; Chordata; Mammalia; Carnivora; Felidae. The record is from RNAcentral.